This 1429-nucleotide ribosomal RNA is filed under the name uncultured bacterium. RNAcentral describes it as "bacterial SSU rRNA". It matches the Rfam family "Bacterial small subunit ribosomal RNA". The record is from RNAcentral.
ACACAUGCAAGUCGAGGGGCAGCAUGGUCUUUUCUUGCUAAGGCCGAUGGCGACCGGCGCACGGGUGAGUAACACGUAUCCAACCUGCCGUCUACUCUUGGACAGCCUUCUGAAAGGAAGAUUAAUACAAGAUGGCAUCAUGAGUCCGCAUGUUCACAUGAUUAAAGGUAUUCCGGUAGACGAUGGGGAUGCGUUCCAUUAGAUAGUAGGCGGGGUAACGGCCCACCUAGUCUUCGAUGGAUAGGGGUUCUGAGAGGAAGGUCCCCCACAUUGGAACUGAGACACGGUCCAAACUCCUACGGGAGGCAGCAGUGAGGAAUAUUGGUCAAUGGGCGAGAGCCUGAACCAGCCAAGUAGCGUGAAGGAUGACUGCCCUAUGGGUUGUAAACUUCUUUUAUAAAGGAAUAAAGUCGGGUAUGGAUACCCGUUUGCAUGUACUUUAUGAAUAAGGAUCGGCUAACUCCGUGCCAGCAGCCGCGGUAAUACGGAGGAUCCGAGCGUUAUCCGGAUUUAUUGGGUUUAAAGGGAGCGUAGAUGGAUGUUUAAGUCAGUUGUGAAAGUUUGCGGCUCAACCGUAAAAUUGCAGUUGAUACUGGAUAUCUUGAGUGCAGUUGAGGCAGGCGGAAUUCGUGGUGUAGCGGUGAAAUGCUUAGAUAUCACGAAGAACUCCGAUUGCGAAGGCAGCCUGCUAAGCUGCAACUGACAUUGAGGCUCGAAAGUGUGGGUAUCAAACAGGAUUAGAUACCCUGGUAGUCCACACGGUAAACGAUGAAUACUCGCUGUUUGCGAUAUACUGCAAGCGGCCAAGCGAAAGCGUUAAGUAUUCCACCUGGGGAGUACGCCGGCAACGGUGAAACUCAAAGGAAUUGACGGGGGCCCGCACAAGCGGAGGAACAUGUGGUUUAAUUCGAUGAUACGCGAGGAACCUUACCCGGGCUUAAAUUGCAGAUGAAUUACGGUGAAAGCCGUAAGCCGCAAGGCAUCUGUGAAGGUGCUGCACGGUUGUCGUCAGCUCGUGCCGUGAGGUGUCGGCUUAAGUGCCAUAACGAGCGCAACCCUUGUUGUAAGUUACUAACAGGUUCCGCUGAGGACUCUGACAAGACUGCCAUCGUAAGAUGUGAGGAAGGUGGGGAUGACGUCAAAUCAGCACAGCCCUUACGUCCGGGGCUACACACGUGUUACAAUGGGGGGUACAGAGGGCCGCUACCACGCGAGUGGAUGCCAAUCCCCAAAACCUCUCUCAGUUCGGACUGGAGUCUGCAACCCGACUCCACGAAGCUGGAUUCGCUAGUAAUCGCGCAUCAGCCACGGCGCGGUGAAUACGUUCCCGGGCCUUGUACACACCGCCCGUCAAGCCAUGGGAGCCGGGGGUACCUGAAGUGCGUAACCGCGAGGAGCGCCCUAGGGUAAAACUGGUGACUGGGGCUAA